GGUCAUGAGCGCCAGCGUCAAGCCCCGGCUUGCUGGCCGGCAACCCUCCUCCGCGGUGGGGUGCCCCGGGUGAGGACCAGGCACCGGCAGGACGCCGGUGCAAGCGUGGCCU
RNAcentral lists this non-coding RNA (112 nucleotides) under Micromonospora rhizosphaerae. RNAcentral's name for it is "SAM-IV sequence". It matches the Rfam family "SAM (S-adenosyl methionine) riboswitch aptamer". Rfam says of the family: SAM-IV is a mRNA element that regulates gene expression via direct sensing of S-adenosylmethionine (SAM or AdoMet). SAM-IV riboswitches share conserved nucleotide positions with the previously described SAM-I riboswitches sequence analysis and molecular recognition experiments suggest that SAM-I and SAM-IV riboswitches share similar ligand binding sites, but have different scaffolds. The record is from Rfam by way of RNAcentral. Lineage: Bacteria; Bacillati; Actinomycetota; Actinomycetes; Micromonosporales; Micromonosporaceae.